This 311-nucleotide long non-coding RNA is filed under the name Brassica rapa (field mustard). RNAcentral's name for it is "long non-coding RNA (BRAP_LNC003437)". The record is from RNAcentral. Lineage: Eukaryota; Viridiplantae; Streptophyta; Magnoliopsida; Brassicales; Brassicaceae.
AAACAUCAAACGUGAUCAUUCAAAAUCAAGCAAAAGAUAAACAUAGUUAGUGAUAGAAAGAAAACCAGAUAAAUGAAAUCAUAAAACAAAAACUUAGUUCUCAUGAAAUGAGAAACAUUAUUCAAUGAAAACAAAACUAAAAUAAAAAAAACUUUAAGCUUUAACCGCCACAUUCCACCUUCAACCUUCAUGUAAUAGAUAAUUAUUUUAGAAGUUCAAUAAUAUCUUAAAGUAUUUUGGAUACAUAUUAAGAAUUAAGAUCAUAUUUGGUAGAAGUUCUUUUUGUGAUUAUAAAUGUUUCGGAUUCUAUC